UUUCAAUGUGCAAAUGGAAUUUUAAACCAAAGGUAAUUCGCAGAUAAAAAUUUAACAACAAUCAACUGAAACACACUGGAAAUUAAGAUUCAACUGAAACUGGAAAACAAAUCCAAAACCUCCCCAAAGGGGAGGAGGAAAAAUGAAAGGCACGUAAAUUCUCUCCUAAUUCCUACUCCUAAAUCUACUUAUUUUGCUUCUCUGCCUGCUGCCCCUUUUAUAUGCCAAAAAUUUUGUCUUUUCUCCCGUGUCCACUCCUUGCUUCCAGCCGUUUCCAGUUUCUUGGUCUGCCUUCAAUCCUUCAAUCCAGAUUUUGAGUUGUUUUUGUCCCUCGUAGCUUAAGACUUUCUUCACCUCCUAACCGUGCCAAAGAAAUAGGGUGGACCCUCCAUUGUUUGUCUUCUUCUUCAAUCACGUUGCACUAUUCUUCCUUUUCUGAAUUUUGCUUCAACCGUGGCCUCCUCUCCAUUUUACACGUUGCAGCUUCAACUGGACCAAGACCGUGGAUGAGCUGCUUCACACACUUCUCUAAACACUCAUUUUGUGCUUCCGGAAAAACCAAGAUGCUUCUCCAAUUCCAGCCCAUCACAUGACAGCACCGCUUUCUUCUUGCUUCUGGACGAACGCCACUCCAAACUCCCAACGUGCUUCCAAAAAUCCUUGACGCUUGUGUGCACCUCUUGCUGUCAUCUUCUUCAUUCCAAGACAUUCCAGCCAAGCACUCUUCUCCCUUCUCAACGUAGCUGCUGGACGCUACACCUCCAUUCUUCACGUGUGCAUCCUCCAACCGUGAGCUUUCAAUCAACCAAGUGGUGGCCCCCUCCAUUGAAGUCUUCUACAAAGAAAGAGCAUUCCUAGCUGCCGUAAAUGAAGAAAACCGUGUGUGCUUUUCCCAUGUGUUCUUUCAUUGCAAAAUUCUUUAAAAGUAAAAGAAGAGGGGCCGUGUGUCCAGCAUUGAUACUUCAACAAUUUAGCACCUAAUGUUUUCAAGAUGGUGGCCCCUUCUCUUUGAUUCCACUUCAAGUGCCUACUCUUCUAUAUUGCCGAGGCCUUUCCAUAAGUGGUGGCUCCCACUUUCUUCAAUUAAUUGCUCUUUGGAUGUGCAAAAACAAUGAGGGGCCGUGUGCUAUCAAUUUAUUUCAGCAAUAACAUUACAAAUUCAGCACUUUCUUGGACUUCUCUUGGCCGUGAAGUGUAUAGGAGUUCCAAAUCAAAUUUUCUAUUUCAACACACAAAUUAAAUCAACACAGUGCAGCUCCUUAAAUAACACAGUGUGCAAACGAAAUUUCUUCAAAAUGUCCUAGAAUAUUUUCAGAAUUUUUCCCUGCACUCAAUAAUGUAAAUAAUUAGUCUCAGAU
Molecule: small RNA, 1358 nt
Filed under: Vigna angularis var. angularis
Lineage: Eukaryota; Viridiplantae; Streptophyta; Magnoliopsida; Fabales; Fabaceae
Description: Non-protein coding transcript
Source: RNAcentral